Molecule: long non-coding RNA, 824 nt
Filed under: Chinchilla lanigera (long-tailed chinchilla)
Lineage: Eukaryota; Metazoa; Chordata; Mammalia; Rodentia; Chinchillidae
Description: lncRNA (ENSCLAG00000024577.1)
Source: RNAcentral
CUCUUUACACUGUGCCGCAGGAAGUUUAAUAUUUACCUGUUUGGUAAAGGGUAAAUAACAUUUAAGAAGUGAAGAACCAAAGUUUCUUUACUGCAGAAAAUAUAUCCAUCAACUGUUGACACGGGAAGAGCUGUUGCUCUCGAAUGUCCGUCAGUGUAAUCACGCAACUGGUAGAGUUGAAACUUUCAAUUAACAAACUACACGCCCUUUCAAGUGCAGGCUGGGCGCAGGGACAAGCACUGCGCCGGAAUCAAUACUCCACGCCACUCGGCUGCAUGUAAUGAGUUACAUCAAGCAGGGUUCCACCACCGGGCAUUGUUUGCCGGAGAUGCAAGCAGUAAGUCUUAAACCAGGGAAAACCAAACGAAGCCACGACACUGUCGUGGCUUGGAACUGUUGUUGCCGUGUGCUCACCUCACCGGCAACUCGACGUGUCCUUGGCAGGCUGCGGCUGCCCGACCUCUGAGGGACCCACAAGCCGCCCCCCAUCUGAGCUCUGACUGCUUUCCUAGAGCCAAAAGGGCGAGGGGGAGGCGAUGGAAAGCAAACACACGACUGCUCCGCAAAACAACAGCGUGAGUUUAUUUCCAGGAAAUCGGGCAGUCUCAACAAGAGACGAACUGUCAAGUACAAAAAAAUUGGAGAAGGAAGAUCAUUUAAAACUGAUUGAAUACAUCAGGCAUUCAAGAAUACAUUUUGUGGGGUUAAGAGCUCGUUCACAAAGUCCAAGCCUGAUGGAGAUUAACAUGGCUGAAUCCUAUGGGCUCUGCGUGAUUUUCUCCCAGCUAUUUUUGAGAUUUCGUGAGAUGAGGAAGUUAAGAUGA